GUCCCGCGUCGCACUAUACAAGAGACGUAGCUCUUGGCGCAAGGCAGGCAGAGGUCGCCGCAAGGCGUGCAGGCGUUUUGGUGCCUGCAUGGAAGCGGUAGUAAAGUAUCUACCUGUAGUUCCUGGCCCAAAAAUGUUAAC
Non-coding RNA from Caenorhabditis elegans, 141 nucleotides. The record is from Ensembl. NCBI's taxonomy places the organism in Eukaryota, Metazoa, Nematoda, Chromadorea, Rhabditida, Rhabditidae.